Molecule: ribosomal RNA, 256 nt
Filed under: uncultured bacterium
Lineage: Bacteria
Description: partial 16S ribosomal RNA
Rfam family: Bacterial small subunit ribosomal RNA
Source: RNAcentral
GACGUAGGUGGCGAACGUUAUCCGGAAUUAUUGGGCGUAAAGGGUGCGUAGGUAGCCUGACAAGUUAUCAGUGGCAAAUCGAGGCUCAACCUCGUGGAAACUGGUAAUACUGUUCGGCUUGAGUACAGGAGAGGUUAACGGAACUCUAUGUGGAGCGGUAAAAUGCACAGAUAUAUAGAAGAACAUCAAUAAAGGCGAAGGCAGUUAACUAUUCUGUUACUGACGCUGAGGCACGAAAGCGUGGGGAGCAAAACGG